GUCCCAGAAGCAGAAUCUCCAGUUGUUUCCUUUGUGGGGCUCACCACACACAUUUUCACUCUUGCAGAGACGUCCUACUCCUGCAUUCCUGUGCCAGGCUGGUAAGCAUCUGGAUCAAAGCAGGAGCUGUGACAGAAAGGAACAUGGCUGUUCCCUCCUCUGACAGCAGAGGCUUCCUGGACACCCACUGGGUUUAUUGUGGAGGUAUUUUUGUCUGACACAGGACAAGCGGAAAAGGAUUGUUUUCUUCAGGGUGUGUGAGGAUGUUUGCCUGGCAACGCCCUUCUUGGAAUCUGACCAUACCCCGCCUUGAUCUGGGAUGUUCAGCCUCAAUAAAUAUGAAAA
Long non-coding RNA from Fukomys damarensis (Damara mole-rat), 345 nucleotides. RefSeq lists it as uncharacterized. The transcript is spliced from 3 exons. The record is from RefSeq and is a predicted model, not a curated record. NCBI's taxonomy places the organism in Eukaryota, Metazoa, Chordata, Mammalia, Rodentia, Bathyergidae.